UCUGAAUAUUUAUAUUGCUUCCUACUUUCAUAAACCAUGCUGUCAUCAACCCUCUUGUAUUAGAGCUUUAUACCCCAUCAUUAAUUAGUUCCUUAGGAUAAAUUUCCAGAUGUGGGUAAAAGAACAUACGUAAAUUGUUAAGCUUUUAAACAUAAAUAUAUUGUUUAAUAAUAAUACCUCCCUUACAAUGUUGUUAUGAGGGUUAAGCGAGCUAGACCAUGUAAACCAAUUUUAUUAGUUCAAGUAAAGUUAAUAAGACUUCAGAUAGUAGUGCCUGGCAUAGAGAGGCACCCUGCAAAUGUCAUCUAUUAUUAGUAGUAGUAUCACUUCUUAGUUCAUCUCCAGCACUGUUACACUAACUUAUACUCCAAUUAACAACGUCUAAGAAGUGCCAUUUGCAGCAUACUCCCUCUAAUACUAUUAUAUUUAGAGCCCUUUCGAAUUUCAUGUGCAAAAGCAGCUUCUUGUUAUUGUUGGUUUCAUCUGACCAUAGCUCAUUUGUUUUCUUACAUUCAGGAUUAGUUUUCCUUGGAUAGAUUUGUCAUAACUUCUGCCUAUAUCCACACGUAGAGAGAGAGUUGAGUCAUUUUUCACUGAAAUGUUUACAACAAUCAAAGACCAUUUGUAUCAGUCACCUUUCCUUGGUUAGAUUGUUACAACAAUCUGAAAGUCUCAGUGGCUUACAACAAAUAUCUAUUCUCACUCACAGUCCAUGUGAGAACCUGGGCUAAAAGAGCAGUGUCCAUUGGUGACAUGCCUUUCUCAUGGAUGACAGAAAAGGGCAAGUGAUCAAGAAUAAGAGUGAAGUCUCCAAUAACUUCUACCCUCACCAAUCUUCUGUUCACAUCUCAUUUUGCUCACGACAAAGUAAGUCAUGGCACAAGCCCAAUAUUAGUGGAAAGUAGGUUCCAACCAUGAGGGACACUGCAUGUCACACAGCAAUGGGUGGGGAUUGAAAGGAGAGCAAUGAUUGAGAACAAUAACACGAUCUACCCCAGUAGUCAAUCAAUCCGUUAAGUCAAACUGGUUAUGUGGCUCCACCCACCUGGAGUCAGGGAUCUUUCCCUGGGACCCAUUAUAAUUCUUACAGGAGUGUUAUGACUCCUGCCCCCUAAGGGAGAUGCUGGGGUGCUGACCUGCUUCCGAGUUGCCCUGAGGAUAAAUGGAUCCAGAGAAACUCAGCUUAAAGUAAAUACAGCUACAUCUCCACUCCCUGCAUGAAGGUACAAACUCGCCCAUCAAAGAAAAUAACUUUGUAUCUAAAGAAAUCAUCUCAUCGUCGACCAAUGAGGAAAUGACAAAGCCCUGGAUGCUCUGGCAGCCACCAAACAGAUGAAAGCUACCUUGAUUCUCUAGGAAAGAUGAUAUGACGGUCCCCUUAGAACAGGGGAGAGAGGGGUUUAUAUCCUGGCUGCAUCACCUGUAUGAUCAAUAGCUGCUGCCAUCAUCCUCCCCAUCGUGAUCGUCAUCACUGCUGCCACCAGCAUCUUUAAGGUCAAGCCAGCUGCCAUGCUCCGAACCCAGCCAACAGCACCCUGGAUGGCCAAAGAGGCAUCUCCACCCCAGAGGACUGACUCUUGUCCUAAAGAAAUGAGCCACAGGCUCUGGUUGCCUGACCAACUGGAAAAUCACGAAGCCGUGAGAUUGCCUAAAAAUGUAUUCCUACACUCCUAACACUAGAGAGUUUUUGAAUUAAUAAACGUGUAUUAAAAUCACAAGCCUAUUCCACUCCGAGCCUCAAGAAAGGAUUCUAGGAACAUGGAAAACGAAAAGGAGAGAUGCCUGUUUCCCAUGGCAAGUCACUUCCUAUUGGCAUUAUUUAUUUAUAUAACAAGUCUUUCUGGACUGGUUAAGGGAACUGCCAAUUAUACGCACCACCUUUCUCCAGGUUACAGAGAAGCAUGACGUUUCUUCUUGCUUCAUGUGGGAGCACCUGGGCUGGAAACCCUUGUCCUGACAACCGGACUCUUCCCCGGGUUUGUCUGCCUCUGGAAGGAUUCAGUGCUCAUUCUGAACCAACGGCAAAGAAAGGAAAAAAAUAUGAUCCUUUUCCAUCCCAUGGGGCUACUGAAUUUGCCUGAGCUUUUGAAAUGGUCAGGAAUGAAAGUACAGUAUUUUCUUCUUUAUCCAUUUUCAGACUCUAAGAAUUCAAGGACCAGCUGAAAUCCCGCCUCUGCUGUGAAGCCUUUUGUCAUCACGCAUGAUAUUCCUUCCUCCAAAACCCAACGGGUAUUUCCUGACUUUACUACCCCUUCGUCGGCUCCGCCUUCACUCCUGGUGAUGUCAGUUAACUUCCAGAGUGGACUGCAGCAGGUAGGGAUUAUACAGGUUCAGGCCAACCUCCCUCUUUCAGGGUGCACAGCAAUUGGUUCAGGGGUAAGCCUGCGAUGCCAGCACGACUAUUCAGCAUUUGCUCUGCAUAAUUAAAAUUAAAGUUGGAAGAGAGACCCUCCAUCUUCUCUGGGUCAUGAGGUAUAAGGAGAGUUUAGGCCUGGAAUUUCUUAAGACUCUCUUCCCUGGACUUGGGCAGAAAGCUCAGACUGAAAGAUGGAGAGCCCUAAUGACAUGAUUUGAACCCCUAGAUCCAGCUAUGCCUGAAGUUCUUAUCCCAGACUUCCCAGUUACAUGAGGAAAAUAAAUUCCGUUUUCUGCUUCAGUGAAUUUGAGUUGGUUCUUGUUAUCUACAACCUAAGUGACUAAUGUGCUCACUCAGAAUUCUUUAAGAAAAAGGAUGCUUAAGGUAAGGAGGCUCUGGACCUCAAAGCCCCCAGAAUCUUUGUGUCUUGCUGCUCUGCUCUUGUCAUUGUGUGAUUGAAGCUGACUGCCUCCCUCUUUGGAUUCCAGCUGGGAACAGAGAGAGCACGUGGGGCAGUGCACGGCCAGUGUCUGAAGGCCCGGCCCUGGAGCUGGGGCAACUGCCUCCCUCAGGGUCAUGUGGUCAGUAGUCAAUGACGUGGCUACACCUGCAGGGGCAGCUGGGACAUGUAGUCCAUCCAGGCUGUUGUGUGUCCAGCCAUGACUGUUCCCGAAAGAAAGAUGUGGAUGUACAACUGUCAGUGUCUGUAGAAUAAAAAACGCCAAGUCCACAUGAAGUGCUUGCAAAGUUGGAAGUGAGGUGGGGAAAAGCUGGACCAUAAGUAAAAAGAACUAGUUAGCAGUGCUCCACCUGGUCUGCUGUAGCAGUAUGUUACCAGUCAACUUAGCUAAGCCUGAACGACAUUCCACAGAGCUCCUCUCCUCAUGGGGCUCCACGCUGGGGUUGGCCAUGAAGACUUUAACCUGAGAUUGGGCAGCUGGCAGUGAAGCAGCAGCCUGAACACUUGGAGGGUUGUGCAGGGCCCCAUGCGUGGGGCAGUUUGUGGGCACUGCUGCUCUCCUGCCAGCUCACCUGCUGCAUGGGGUGGCAGCCUGCAGCUUCGCCCCAAGUGCCCAGCCUCCUCUGAGAUGCUCCAAGUCCUUGGCCCAGGGCAAGCCUGGCUACGUGGUAAAGGGCACCAGCAGCUUCCGUGGGUCCCCACGCACGGAAGUUGGAGGCUAUGGGAGACAGACACGGGCUCCAGCUGGCCUCGCAGCUCCCAGCCUCUCUGUACCUUAACCUUGAUGUUUCUCAACCUCAGGGAGUGUUGCUGUUUUAAAGCAGAAGACUGUUGUGUGGAGCUGUCCUGUGCCCUGCGGGGGUGUUGGGCGGCAUGCCUGGCCUCUACAUCCUGGAUGCCAGUCGCAGCCUUCGCCGCAGUUGUGAGAACCCAAACUGUCUCCGGACAUUGCCAAAGGUCUCCUGGGGAGCAGAUCAGAUCACUCCCAGUUGAGACCCAGUGUCUUCACAUAUAAGGUUUUCUUCUCAGUUCCUGGCCUCGUGACCUAUAGCAACUUCCGGCCCACCUUCGCACCAGUGGCCUGUGUCUCGGAGACUUGCUGAGACCUUGCCACCAGCUCCCACAGUCACAGAGAGCCUAAAACUCCACAAUCCGUCCCUUAUGUCGGGUUCCCCAGAGCUGUUCCGAUCAGGGCUGUAUCAUGACUUCGAUGGGCUCAAGUGUGCAUUUGCCUUCAGGGGCCUCUUCCUCCACAAAAAAUUUAAAAAUGAUAUGUUAAAGCUAUUUUGGUAUAAUAACAAAUAUUAAUAUUACAUAGACUGGAUUUAUUAUUAGAUAUUUGUUUAUACUUUUUUUUUUUUUUUUUAUGGCUGCACCCUGCAGCACAUGGAAGUUCCCCGGGCUAGGGACUGAAUCCAAGCCUCAGCUGUGACCUACACUGCCGCUGUGGCAAUGCCAGAUCCUUUUAACCUGCUGCACCAAGCCGGGGAUGGAAUCCCUGCCUCCACCGUGACCAAAGCUACUGCAGUCAGGUUCUUAAUCCACUGCACCACAGCAGGAACUAUUAUAUGUUUUUUCAUUAAAAGUAAAGCUUUUAUGGCCCCCUGCAAGUAAGGUGUGCUCUAGGCAUUACAUAUUUGAAUGGAAGACUCAGCCUUCCGCCUGCUUCUUCCCCAAAGCUUGACUAACGGGUACCUUCAGUCGCACAAUUCUCUUCCUUGUAAUCAGAACAAAAACACGCCCUGCAGUGAUUUGCUUCUUUGGAGACCAACCUGAGCCAGGGAAGGAACUCCACGUACUUGAGGCUGCAGUCAGUGGAGCAGAACAAAAUAGGGUGAGGGCCCUCCAGGAGUUUGCCUCUGAGCCUCCUAGCGGGCCAACAGAAAUGAUGGUUGCUGUUUAGGGAAUUCAGGGCAAAAGAUGAGCAUGCAAUACAACUCCCUUUUAAAAACGUCAAAGAAAACAAGUGUGUCUCAAGGUGAAAUUGCCGACAUGUGUUUUCUAUGUAUUUACCAUUAGAUCGUUAAUAAUCGGAUAUAAAUCAUCCAGUGCAAUCAGAUGAUCCAAUCCCGGGGCCCCUUUCCCCACCUGGUGCCGGCUGCUUCUGAUUAGCUUGGGGCCCCGCUGCCCUGACGAACAAUGGGCUCCUCUCGGGUCCGUGGAGGACAGGAAAUUAAGCCAUCAGGCACCUUGCCUAUUAUUUCCAUGCUAUCCUCAAGCUGUAAAUCCAUCAACUAUGAAAGGGAGAAGCAUAAAUGGAGGCCAAAGAGGAGGAAGUUGGAGAUGCAGUUUUAUUUGCCACACCACCUCUCAGAAAGUUUGUCCACAAAUGCUCAGUAUUCACUCUGGCAUUAAAAUACCUGCUUCACAGCAGAUGUGUUCUAGACGGACACACUGUAGAUGCUAAGACGUCUGCAGCAAAGCACCAAAUGUUUCUUUUAGCAAGAACUUUGCUUUUAUCUCUGGAAGUAUCAGGAAACCAUUUUGAGUCGAGCCACCAAAAUAAAGGCAGUGGAGUUUUGAGAUAAAUGUUAGGAAAAUUGUGUAAAACAUUAUAUCAAAACCCUUGGCACUGUCGAAAAGCAAGAUUUCUGAAUCCAAUGAGUAGCUGCAGAAGAAAAUUCAGUUCCAUUUUUUCACUUUGUCUGCCAAUUUUAUAGCACUUCAUUUAAAAUGGAAUCUCUAAAGAAUCAAUUCAAAUUAGCUUUACAGUUUUCCCCAAAGAAUCGGCUUUAAAAUAAAUUGAAUUGGCGCAUGUGACAUAAUAAGUGAGCAUAAAAUUCAUGUUAACUAGUCCGAAGGAAAAACUUCUCAUCAUAAGGAAACAAAUAAUCUCACAUGACUGAGCUAAAAAUAGUCUUUAGAUUGUCGGUUUCAAAAUGGAACAAAAAUAGGGAGAGUUGUUAUAAUAAUGAUAUGGCACAUUUCCUCCUAAUGAAAUGGCCUUGAAUUUUUGUAAUAAAUUACAGAAAGAGAAUCCUUUGGGCAAAAAUAAGGGACCAGACAUGAGUUGCUUUCAUCAAUAGAGUGACAGCAAUGCAAAUACCUUCCAGCUGGGAGUGAGCAGCCCUGGCUGGUGGCUUCAUUACUGAAGACAGGGCAGAGCUGGGGGGAGCCGUGGUUAGAGUGACGACCAGCCUCCAUCACCUGCUGCCCCUUGACUGCAAAACAGCGCUGUGUUUGCUUUGUUUUGCUCAGCCACAUUUAGACAAACAUUUAUUUGAAAUCUCUUUAUUUGGGACUUCCCUGGUAGCUCAGGAGGUUAAAGAUCCGGGGUCACCACUGCUGGGGUGAGGGUUUGACCACUAGCUCGGGAACUUCUGUAUGCUGUGGGAAUGG
RNAcentral lists this long non-coding RNA (6155 nucleotides) under Sus scrofa (pig). RNAcentral's name for it is "lncRNA (ENSSSCG00000061380.1)". The record is from RNAcentral. Lineage: Eukaryota; Metazoa; Chordata; Mammalia; Artiodactyla; Suidae.